Molecule: ribosomal RNA, 253 nt
Filed under: uncultured bacterium
Lineage: Bacteria
Description: partial 16S ribosomal RNA
Rfam family: Bacterial small subunit ribosomal RNA
Source: RNAcentral
UACGUAGGGUGCAAGCGUUGUCCGGAAUCAUUGGGCGUAAAGCGCGCGUAGGUGGCCCUGUAAGUCCGCUGUGAAAGUCAAAGGCUCAACCUUUGAAAGCCGGUGGAUACUGCAGGGCUAGAGUACGGAAGAGGCGAGUGGAAUUCCUGGUGUAGCGGUGGAAUGCGCAGAUAUCAGGAGGAACACCGGUGGCGAAGGCGGGUCUCUGGGCCGAUACUGACGCUGAGGAGCGAAAGCGUGGGGAGCGAACAGG